UCUGUAGCUCAGUCGGUAGAGCAGUGGACUGAAAAUCCACGUGUCGCUGGUUCGAUUCCGGCCGGA
Molecule: transfer RNA, 66 nt
Filed under: Candidatus Timburyella stercoris
Lineage: Bacteria; Bacillati; Bacillota; Clostridia
Also listed under: 1 other name
Rfam family: tRNA
About the family: Transfer RNA (tRNA) molecules are approximately 80 nucleotides in length. Their secondary structure includes four short double-helical elements and three loops (D, anti-codon, and T loops).
Source: RNAcentral